RNAcentral lists this unclassified non-coding RNA (227 nucleotides) under uncultured fungus. Its description in RNAcentral is "sequence contains ITS1, 5.8S rRNA gene". The stretch from base 179 to 227 matches the Rfam family "5.8S ribosomal RNA", at positions 1 to 49 of the family's 154-position model. The record is from RNAcentral. Lineage: Eukaryota; Fungi.
UCUCCGUAGGUGAACCUGCGGAGGGAUCAUUACUGAGUGAGGGCCUUCGGGCUCGACCUCCAACCCUUUGUGAACACAACUUGUUGCUUCGGGGGCGACCCUGCCGUCCGCGGCUGAGCGCCCCCGGGGUCAAUCAAACACUGCGUCAAUUUGUGUCGGAGUACUUGUUAAUAAACAAAACUUUCAACAACGGAUCUCUUGGUUCUGGCAUCGAUGAAGAACGCAGC